UACGUAGGGGGCAAGCGUUAUCCGGAUUCACUGGGCGUAAAGGGAGCGCAGGCGGCACGGCAAGUCCGGUGUGAAAGCCCGGGGCCCAACCCCGGGACUGCACUGGAAACUGCCGGGCUGGGGUGUCGGAGGGGCAGGCGGAAUUCCUGGUGUAGCGGUGAAAUGCGUAGAUAUCAGGAGGAACACCGGUGGCGAAGGCGGCCUGCUGGACGAUGACUGACGCUGAGGCUCGAAAGCGUGGGGAGCAAACAGG
RNAcentral lists this ribosomal RNA (253 nucleotides) under uncultured bacterium. Its description in RNAcentral is "partial 16S ribosomal RNA". It matches the Rfam family "Bacterial small subunit ribosomal RNA", at positions 524 to 776 of the family's 1533-position model. The record is from RNAcentral.